Molecule: ribosomal RNA, 497 nt
Filed under: uncultured bacterium
Lineage: Bacteria
Description: partial 16S ribosomal RNA
Rfam family: Bacterial small subunit ribosomal RNA
Source: RNAcentral
GAUGAACGCUGGCGGCGUGCCUAAUACAUGCAAGUCGAGCGAACGGACGAGAAGCUUGCUUCUCUGAUGUUAGCGGCGGACGGGUGAGUAACACGUGGAUAACCUACCUAUAAGACUGGGAUAACUUAGGGAAACCGGAGCUAAUACCGGAUAAUAUUUUGAACCGCAUGGUUCAAAAGUGAAAGACGGUCUUGCUGUCACUUAUAGAUGGAUCCGCGCUGCAUUAGCUAGUUGGUAAGGUAACGGCUUACCAAGGCAACGAUGCAUAGCCGACCUGAGAGGGUCAUCGGCCACACUGGAACUGAGACACGGUCCAGACUCCGACGGGAGGCAGCAGUAGGGAAUCUUCCGCAAUGGGCGAAAGCCUGACGGAGCAACGCCGCGUGAGUGAUGAAGGUCUUCGGAUCGUAAAACUCUGUUAUUAGGGAAGAACAUAUGUGUAAGUAACUGUGCACAUCUUGACGGUACCUAAUCAGAAAGCCACGGCUAACUACGUG